CGGCGCCACUAGUGGGGAUCAGGGUUAUUGGGCCUAAAGCGUCCGUAGCUGGUCUAGUAAAUCAUCUGUGAAAUCGUUGGGCUUAACCUAACGGCAUGCGGAUGAGACUGCUAGACUUGAGACCGGGAGGAGUUAGAGGUAUUCCUUAGGUAGCGGUAAAAUGCAAUAAUCUAAGGAAGACCACCUGUGGCGAAGGCGUCUAACCAGAACGGGUCUGACAGUGAGGGACGAAAGCCAGGGGAGCGAACCGGAUUAGAGACCCGCGUAGUCC
RNAcentral lists this ribosomal RNA (271 nucleotides) under uncultured archaeon. RNAcentral's name for it is "partial 16S ribosomal RNA". It matches the Rfam family "Archaeal small subunit ribosomal RNA", at positions 477 to 747 of the family's 1478-position model. The record is from RNAcentral.